AGUGAACGCUGGCGGUAGGCCUAACACAUGCAAGUCGAACGGCAGCACAGUAAGAGCUUGCUCUUACGGGUGGCGAGUGGCGGACGGGUGAGGAAUACAUCGGAAUCUACUUUUUCGUGGGGGAUAACGUAGGGAAACUUACGCUAAUACCGCAUACGACCUACGGGUGAAAGCAGGGGAUCUUCGGACCUUGCGCGAUUGGAUGAGCCGAUGUCGGAUUAGCUAGUUGGCGGGGUAAAGGCCCACCAAGGCGACGAUCCGUAGCUGGUCUGAGAGGAUGAUCAGCCACACUGGAACUGAGACACGGUCCAGACUCCUACGGGAGGCAGCAGUGGGGAAUAUUGGACAAUGGGCGCAAGCCUGAUCCAGCCAUACCGCGUGGGUGAAGAAGUCCUUCGGGUUGUAAAGCCCUUUUGUUGGGAAAGAAAAGCAGCAGGUUAAUACCCCGCUGUUCUGACGGUACCCGAAGAAUAAGCACCGGCUAACUUCGUG
RNAcentral lists this ribosomal RNA (492 nucleotides) under uncultured bacterium. RNAcentral describes it as "partial 16S ribosomal RNA". It matches the Rfam family "Bacterial small subunit ribosomal RNA", at positions 29 to 507 of the family's 1533-position model. The record is from RNAcentral.